This 567-nucleotide ribosomal RNA is filed under the name Lachancea kluyveri. Its description in RNAcentral is "partial small subunit ribosomal RNA". It matches the Rfam family "Bacterial small subunit ribosomal RNA", at positions 376 to 940 of the family's 1533-position model. The record is from RNAcentral. Lineage: Eukaryota; Fungi; Ascomycota; Saccharomycetes; Saccharomycetales; Saccharomycetaceae.
CGAAAGAUUGACCCAGUUACUUAUUAGGAUGAUAUAUAUUUAAUAAAAUAAAUAAUAAAAAAAAUAAAAAUUAUAUAAAUUGAUUAAAAAUAAAAUCCAUAAAUAGUGAAAAUAAUGAUAUAAACUACCAUAAUAAAAAUUAUGGAUAUAAUAUUAAUAUUAUAUUUUAAUAGUCCUAACCAAAAUUUGUGCCAGCAGCUGCGGUAAGACAAUGGGGGCUAGCGUUAAUCAUAAUGGCUUAAAGGGUCCGUAGAAUGAAUAAUAAAAAAGUUAUUUAGAGUUAAUAAAUUUAAUUAAAGAAUUAUAAUAGUAAGGAUGAAAUGAUAAUGAUCAUUAUAAGACUGGUAUAUGUGAAGGUAUUAAUUAAAUAUUAACUGACAUUGAGGGACGAAAGCUAAAGUAGCAAUACGGAUUCGAUACCCGAGUAGUUUUAGCUGUAAACAAUGAACACCAUUUAUAAAAAAUAAAUUAUAAAUAAAUGAAAAUGAAAGUGUUCCGCCUGAAGAGUACGUUCGCAAGAAUGAAACUCAAGACAAUAGACGGUUACAGACUUAAGCAGUGGAGCAU